RNAcentral lists this ribosomal RNA (1470 nucleotides) under metagenome. RNAcentral's name for it is "bacterial SSU rRNA". It matches the Rfam family "Bacterial small subunit ribosomal RNA". The record is from RNAcentral.
AGAGUUUGAUCCUGGCUCAGGACGAACGCUGGCGGCACGCUUAACACAUGCAAGUCGAACGAGAGAAGAGGAGCUUGCUUUUCUGAUCUAGUGGCGGACGGGUGAGUAACACGUGAGCAAUCUGCCUUUCAGAGGGGGAUACCGAUUGGAAACGAUCGUUAAUACCGCAUAACAUAAUUGAACCGCAUGAUUUGAUUAUCAAAGAUUUAUCGCUGAAAGAUGAGCUCGCGUCUGAUUAGCUAGUUGGUAAGGUAACGGCUUACCAAGGCGACGAUCAGUAGCCGGACUGAGAGGUUGAUCGGCCACAUUGGGACUGAGACACGGCCCAGACUCCUACGGGAGGCAGCAGUGGGGAAUAUUGCACAAUGGAGGAAACUCUGAUGCAGCGAUGCCGCGUGAGGGAAGAAGGUUUUAGGAUUGUAAACCUCUGUCUUCAGGGACGAAAAAAGACGGUACCUGAGGAGGAAGCUCCGGCUAACUACGUGCCAGCAGCCGCGGUAAUACGUAGGGAGCGAGCGUUGUCCGGAAUUACUGGGUGUAAAGGGAGCGUAGGCGGGAUCGCAAGUCAGAUGUGAAAACUAUGGGCUUAACCCAUAAACUGCAUUUGAAACUGUGGUUCUUGAGUGAAGUAGAGGUAAGCGGAAUUCCUAGUGUAGCGGUGAAAUGCGUAGAUAUUAGGAGGAACAUCAGUGGCGAAGGCGGCUUACUGGGCUUUAACUGACGCUGAGGCUCGAAAGCGUGGGGAGCAAACAGGAUUAGAUACCCUGGUAGUCCACGCCGUAAACGAUGAUUACUAGGUGUGGGGGGACUGACCCCUUCCGUGCCGCAGCAAACGCAAUAAGUAAUCCACCUGGGGAGUACGACCGCAAGGUUGAAACUCAAAGGAAUUGACGGGGGCCCGCACAAGCAGUGGAGUAUGUGGAUUAAUUCGAAGCAACGCGAAGAACCUUACCAGGUCUUGACAUCGUAUGCAUAGCUCAGAGAUGAGUGAAAUCUCUUCGGAGACAUAUAGACAGGUGGUGCAUGGUUGUCGUCAGCUCGUGUCGUGAGAUGUUGGGUUAAGUCCCGCAACGAGCGCAACCCUUACUGUUAGUUGCUACGCAAGAGCACUCUAGCAGGACUGCCGUUGACAAAACGGAGGAAGGUGGGGAUGACGUCAAAUCAUCAUGCCCCUUAUGACCUGGGCCUCACACGUACUACAAUGGCUGUCAACAGAGGGAAGCAAAGCCGCGAGGUGGAGCGAACCCCUAAAAGCAGUCUUAGUUCGGAUUGUAGGCUGCAACCCGCCUACAUGAAGUCGGAAUUGCUAGUAGUCGCAGAUCAGCAUGCUGCGGUGAAUACGUUCCCGGGCCUUGUACACACCGCCCGUCACGCCAUGGGAGUCGGUAACACCCGAAGCCUGUAGUCUAACCGCAAGGAGGACGCAGUCGAAGGUGGGAUUGAUGACUGGGGUGAAGUCGUAACAAGGUA